UUUUCUUGUAUCAUGUGUAUCGCUGUGUUACUUCGUUAUCUUCGCAGCUGUUGGACCAUUUUAUUUAUUAUCAAGGGAAAUUUGAAUUCAGUAAAUCUUUUAUGGGUUUUAUCAUUAAAGUUAUAUAUAUAAAUAGACCUGACAAACGUGUCGUGUCGUGUAGAGUUCGUGUCGUGUCAAGACAUUAAACGGGUUGAGAGUGCUUAACCCUAACCCAACCCGUUUAAUUAUCGUAUCGUAUCAUGUCAACACGUUUAUUUUCGUGUCGGGUUUCAGGUUAAAGUUUAAAUCUUAUACAUAUGUUGUGGCAUGCCGGAUUUAAACAUUUUAAAGAUUGAAAAAUAUGAGUCAUUGAGGAAAAAAUGAAAAAGUGAAAUGCUGGAGUUGGGAGAUGGGAGGUGGAACGGAAAAAAAAAAUUAUACUCCCUCUGUCCCAUAUUUAUUGUUCAUGUUUUGACUUUUGAAGUUUUAUUUAUUUAUUUUGACCUUAAAUAUUUUUAUUUAUAUUAUAAAUUACUUGAUAAAACUUAUAACAAUCAAAAGACAUUUAAAACACAAUUCAUUCAUAUAUUUUGCAUUAAGUAUUAUAUGUCAAAAACAAAAAUAUUUAAGGUCAAAUUUGAAGAAUAAAGACUUCAAAAGUCAAAAUUGGACAAUAAGUAUGAGACGGAUGUAGCAGUAAGUUUAGAAAGCAAAAUGGAAAUAGUUAGAGUUAGGAAGCAAAUGAGAUAGGUAGUGAGGAUGAGUAAAAUUAAGUNAAGAAAAGAAGAAGUUUUGCAUGUUCUUGAGGAGAGAGGAGGGAGUUUUCGGUUGGAUUCUUGAGAGCAAAGUGUGUGUUUUCGGCUAGAAAUGUAAGAAUGAGGGAAAAUUUUGGACUUCUUAUAAAUAUAUAUAUAUAUAUAUAUAUAUAUAUAUAUAUAUAUAAACGGGUCAUCUUCGAGUUGAAAGUUUUGACCCUAACCCUUACCCGUUUCAUUAUCGUGUCGUGUCAACCCGUGUACAUAAACGGGUCGAAAUCUCUGACCCUAACCCUAACCCGCUAACUUCGUAUCGGGUUGUCGUGUCGUGCCAGAUUUUACCAGGUCUAUAGUAUAUAAUAUAAUGUGUUCAAAAUGUAUCACUAUAAGAACUUAAGAUGGCUUCAAAGACUUAUUCCGCAACUCAGUGGCGGAACAUAGAAGAGGCUGGGCCCCCUUUUUUUUUUUCAAUUAAAUAGCAAUAUCUAUAGAAUUAGUGAUUAUAUAAGCUAAUUAUUUAAAAGAUUGUAACACCGGCUCCUCAUGUUUUUUUUAUUGAAUAUCAGUAAUUAAGCUUAAGUUGUUCAGAAAAUUAGGAAACUUAUCCAAGCAAAACUAAAAAGUAGGAAAUUUAUAAAGUAACCAUAUAAAAAGUAGGAAACUUACAAAAUAACCAUAUAAAAAUACCAUGAAAUUAAUUAUUAACUUACAUAUUCAAAUGAACGAACCCUAAAAAUACUAUCGGCUCUGCUUGUUUUUGUGCAACUCACUGGAAUUAUGCAUUGAGACCAGAAGAGAAUAUGACAUGUAGCUUUUCCUUGAUUUGAAAGUGUAAAUCUUCCGCAAUCUUCCAAGUUACAACUCAUCGGAUUUCUUACUCUCUCUUUUUUGGAUUCAAUCGACCGUUCUCCGCCGAUUCCUUAAUUUCUCUUCUCCCCGAGUCUUCGCCGCCAAACCACUACUGCCUUCCUCUCGGUUGACUCCACAACGAAGGUACACAUUUCC
RNAcentral lists this long non-coding RNA (1742 nucleotides) under Lactuca sativa (garden lettuce). Its description in RNAcentral is "long non-coding RNA (LSAT_LNC004503)". Lineage: Eukaryota; Viridiplantae; Streptophyta; Magnoliopsida; Asterales; Asteraceae. The record is from RNAcentral.